UACUAGACACACAGAAAACAUGAUUAGACUCUGAAAGCCAAUCCUGGGCAAGAAUGAACGUCCCCAUCAAGACCUGCCCUUUGUGACCCACACCACAGCCGCGAAAUAAGACUCUUCCCUAAAUCAUCUUUAAGGCUCUGGGCUAUGCAGCUGGCCCCCUUGGGUUUAAGACUUCAAAACCCACGCUAUGCCUUCACCUCUCGGAGCCUCAUGUUCGCAUUUCUCCUCUGGAAAGUCAAGCCAAGGACUUAUUGGAUUGAAUAGGGGGGUUAUGCCAUUUCUGGUACUCAGCGUUUAAAGAAUAUUCGAGAGAUUUCCUUUAUGAGAGGCCAAAGGAGUGAAUGGAGUCAAGAGUUAGAGAUCACCUCUCUCGGCAGUCGGAGGCCUGGGGCCUACACUAGGCUUGCCCUACAUCACGUGAAAGCAGAGAUCGGCUCCGCUCCGGGUGUGCCAAGCAAGAAAGGGCCCACGGCUUGGUCUUGUUCGCUCCGUUUGCUCUGCUCGCGUGGGUCGACCGGACACGUGUGCGGUGCGGCACCAGCCGGGGCAGACUUUUCCUGGUCUCAGUUGCUGCGACGCUCCCCGCCCCCCCUCACUCCGGAGGCCCGGGACGAAAGUGCUCCGGCCUACCCCAAACCCCGGGACCGGCCGCUUUAGGGCGGCCUCCAUUUCAUCUCCCCCAACCCCAGCUGCGGUCCCAAGACCGACAGUCCCUUGUCGACACGCGUCAGCGCCUGAUGGAGACCAGCUCGCCCUCACCUCAUGGCUGCGGCCGCAGCAGCGAAAGGAAAGAGCUCGCUCGGGCCCGGCUCCUCCCAUUAUCUGCGAAGGGGAGAGCCCAAACCCUGCUCCAAUUUCGUCCGUAUUCCUGUCCGGUUCUUUCAUCUUCUGCCACACUAAACUCACUCAUAGCCUCCAUAUAGGCCUGAAAUGAUAAAAGUCAAAUAUCAGAAA
This is a long non-coding RNA of Homo sapiens (human), 954 nucleotides long. RefSeq lists it as uncharacterized. NCBI's taxonomy places the organism in Eukaryota, Metazoa, Chordata, Mammalia, Primates, Hominidae. The transcript has 2 exons. The record is from RefSeq and is a predicted model, not a curated record.